UUUCUAAAAGAAAUAAUUUUAAGUAAGACCUGCUCAAUGUAUAUUCAUAUAAAUAGCCGCAGAAAUUUAACUGUGCUAAGGUAGCAUAAUCAUUAGUCUCCUAAUUAGAGACUAGCAUGAAGGGCCAAACAUUUCAAUUACUUUUUUAAAUCUAAAAUUAAACCUUAUAUUAAAUAUAAAAAUAUAUUUAUUCAAAAGUUAGACGACAAGACCCUAUCGAACUUCACUAAAGUUUGGCUGGGGCAGCCUAUUAAUAAAUAUUUUAAUCCAAAAUUUUUAUAUUAAUGAUCCAAUAAAAUUGAUUAAAUGAUUAAGUUACCGUAGGGAUAACAGCGUAAUAAAAUUUUUAAGUUCUUAUUUUAAAAUUAGAUUGCGACCUCGAUGUUGAAUUAAUUAACUUUACUAAACGCAAGAGUUUUAAAAGUAGGUCUGUUCGACCUUUAAUUUUUUACA
Molecule: ribosomal RNA, 453 nt
Filed under: Allende nigrohumeralis
Lineage: Eukaryota; Metazoa; Arthropoda; Arachnida; Araneae; Tetragnathidae
Description: partial 16S ribosomal RNA
Rfam family: Bacterial large subunit ribosomal RNA
Source: RNAcentral